UACGGGGGGAGCAAGCGUUGUUCGGAUUUACUGGGCGUAAAGGGCGCGUAGGCGGUCGUGACAAGUCACUUGUGAAAUCUCCGGGCUUAACUCGGAACGGUCAAGUGAUACUGUCGGACUAGAGUACAGAAGGGGCAACUGGAAUUCUUGGUGUAGCGGUGAAAUGCGUAGAUAUCAAGAGGAACACCUGCGGCGAAGGCGGGUUGCUGGGCCGACACUGACGCUGAGGCGCGAAAGCUAGGGGAGCGAACGGG
This 254-nucleotide ribosomal RNA is filed under the name uncultured bacterium. Its description in RNAcentral is "partial 16S ribosomal RNA". It matches the Rfam family "Bacterial small subunit ribosomal RNA", at positions 524 to 776 of the family's 1533-position model. The record is from RNAcentral.